UCGGUCCGGAUAAUAACAUUUUUACGUCUUCAAAGUUCAGUCGCUGGCUCUUUAUCGAAAAAGGCUUUCGCCCCGUUUUAUAUAUAAAGCACCGAUCAUCAAGCAUCUAGUAUAGACACACGCCACCGCAACACACGCACACACCCAGAGCAGGAUACAUAGGCGCUGAGUGCAGCAACACCACCCCUAGCACUACCACGACGAGGAGAUGAAGCUACAUAUGACGGACCAUGAGCUUCAAGGCGGUGCCUUCAGGAAGGACACGACACCGGAGCGCCGCCACCGUCCGAUCCGAGGAUCAGAGUUUCCCCUGGAGCCGCAUGCUGGGCAGUGAGAACCGCGACAACGCCUUCAAGAAGGGAACGACCUUCGCCGCUGCCGGUCCGUCCGAAGAUAGAACAGGUUUUCACCUCGGCCAACACCCACCGCCACCGACCGCCACAGCCCGACCACCACGCCGCCCACACGGCCAUGGUGACUGGGCAGCACCAAGGCACGGGCUCCGCCCAAGAGCACCGCGCUGCACCACCAGGGCCGCCGCCCCGGCAUCCACGACCUUGACACCACCUCACCCGAGACCCGCCGCAACCCCAGCGAAAGAGGCGAGCAGAAAGGUCCCACAUUUCGCACCCCUGAGCGACCCCCAGCGUCGAGACCCAAUAGGCCGGCCAAAACUGGCAUCCGCCGAUCCGUCCUGCUGCCCCGAGCGCGAGACGAGCUCGGUCCUGCAGCACAGAGAGGGGGACGGGGUCAAUCCUGCUGCACCGUGCGCGAGACGAGCUCGGUUCUGCUGCACCUUGCGUGAGACGAGCUCGGUCCUGCAGCACCGGGCGCGAGACGAGCGGUGGACCGCAGCUGGGAGAGGACCAGCCCUUUGAUGGGAGUCACGCUCGGGCGCCGAGGAGAUGGGCCGAAGGUCGAGACGGUCUGAACGCAGACGAGUCGACGCCGGAGAAGCCGGCCGCUGCCGCGGGCAGAACCGUCGAGCCACCGUGAAGCCGGCACGCCACCGGAAGGCCACCACCGCCGGACCUCCCUACGCCGCCGCCCACGGCCGGAGCAGCGGCCACGCCCGGCCGCUGCCCUACCCGCGUCGCCCGGCGAGCUCCAAGCGUCGGAGCCACCGGGCACGCACCACUGAUGCCACGGGCCGACCCCCAACGCCAGAUCCGGUCGGAUCCAGCAAGAGACGAGCCGGCCCCGCUGCCACCACCAACCAGAGCCACCUCCACCCCCCGCACCCCGCCGUCGAGUCCAAUCGCCGCGCCGCGACCACACCGACAACCAGCGCCACCACCAGAGCUGCCCCCAUCGUGAGGACCAGCCGGAGCACCACCAGCCCAAGCCAGCCACCGCCGCCGAGGGCAGCCACGGGCCACCCGAGACGCCGACGACCAGAUCUGGCUGCGCCAGAUCGAGGGCCGCGGGCACCACGGGCACGCCCGCGAGCAGCCAUCCCCGUGAUCCCCAUGGGUCGCGCACAGGAGCCAGCCGUCGCCGCCCGAGACCACGCCAAAACGCGCCCCCACCCGCCGAGGAGACCGCCUGCGACGAGCCCACCAGCAGAGGGGAGAGAGGGUCCCGCCGCCGCCGACGCCGACCGGGCAAAAGCCCGGUCGGCGUGCCCCGGCAGCGGCGAGGAGAAGAGAAGGGGGGAGGGGCGCGGGGCCGGCGGCGCUGGGUUUUCCCCCUCGGCCGCCGCGGGAGCGACGCGAAAGGGACGAGGGACUCUCCUGUCGCUGGCUCUUUACGAGUUUUCUAGGUUCGGAUCACAUUUGGCACAGUACUGUAAUUAGUUAUGCGGUGAAAAAUUGGUGAGGGGCACACACUGCCUGCUACGUCCAGUGCAAAAGGCAGCCAUGAAACAUCUCUUACUGUCUGCAAUGGCGGUGAAUCUUCAGAGAGUCAGGGAAAGAUAGAGCUGUGAAAAUUCUCUUGGCUUUACAGUUGUCGUAAGGCUCAACCAAGACCCCGAAUCGUUGUGAUUGUCCCAGCCUCCAACUUUCGCCGAGGCGAAAAAGCCAUGGCUAGCUGCUCAUUCCUCUACCAUCUUUUUCAGGGCGGAGCGUGGCUACUACACACCCUCCACGCUGCACGCAUGUCACCAGUCAUUUUCGUUCAUGGUUUAGUUGCGUUGUUUGCCAGUUGAGUCAAAUAUUCCUGAAGUGAAAACUUUGCAGCUUUUGUUAUACUGUCCUCGGAAAAACGUUUUUCUGCAGACUGCCAAAUUGCGACAAUGGCGAUCAAAGUGCUUGAUGGAGAAAUUAUUUGUGGGGCAGCCAGCCAGUGAGGCGACGGAUCAUGCAAAGGCUCAAAUCUGCAAGUAAUAUACACUCACUCUAGUACUGUAACAAAUACUACGAAACUCUGAAGCUGUAAUAAGCAGGCAGCUGUAUCUGUCUAUGAUGAAGCGACAUGAUAGCAGGAUGCCUGCCAUGAAUAUGCUUUCUGCUCGCCCUCGUCGGAAGAGAAAGCAAGACUGGCCGAUUGGCAUCAUAAGAGCGCUCGAUCCCCAACUCACAAAAGAAAAAUAAAUACAAGGAAGCAAUCCAAGCAAGUACAUCUAUGAUGUCUCAUUAAGCCCCCGGAUCUUGGAGAAGUCCUGUGUUCAGAAAAAAGAUCUCGGAAGUGUAAACUAUACACACAAGAUACACAAAGGUGGCAUUUGUACCAUUCUUCAUCUUUAAUCAAGGUUCAGGUGUCAAGCUCUAAAAAAAUCUCUACUUGAUGGCAAAUGUGAGCCUGUCAAACAACAUAUUCGUCUCAUUUGGCUUGUCAACAAAGCCACUUCCUUCCCACCAUCUUUUUGCAAAGAAGCAUGGAGUGUCGUCUCUUCUACACGUUCGAAAAGUUGUCGCGAGCUGCGAGCUCGCUGCAAUCGGUUGGGAACUGCUUUUCUUUGUUCACAUGUAGCACUAGUUGGUUCUCCCAUGAAUAGAUUCCUCACUGAACAAUGCUCAUAAUUCGUUAUGAGUACACACGAUACGAUUCCAAUAUCAGAGGCAAAUACACAGCACUGUAAUAUCCGAACCGCACCCUUGUUGAGCAGCUUCUGGGACGAACCGGCCGGCAUGUUUGGUUGUCUUCCUUUCGGUGGAAAAUGGCGGUCUCGCACGCCUGUACAAUAGAAGCCACGCUGUCUGAAGAGUGUCGUCCUGGAGCGGCAUGAUAAUACAGUAUAAAGCUGCGCAGGGAUUAGUGUUUGUUUUUAACCACUGCACCUGCACAUCUUUUCCUAUGGUUAUGGCCCUGAUUACAGCCUUUUUCCUGGGAUUAGACAAAGGAAAUUCAUCUGUCAGCGGAGCAACGCAUGUUGUCUGAUGAGUGUUUCGGGUUGCACAAUAAAGCUGCAGACGAGCAUUGAGUACUGUUAGCGUAGAACCAAAGGCACCCAUGUACUGCUGCGAAAAAACUAUUUCUUCACAGAAGUUGUCCGUUCCUUUCUUUUUUUGUCAAGAUAAUAAACUUAUAAUAUGAUUUCACCAUUCACAUUCAGUCAUUCAGAUAGUCCCGUAGACCGUAGCCGAAGUUACGAGCCAAUUAUUUUGCUUGCUUUUUUGAGCUUUCAGAAUAAACUGCUCCCUACCCAGCUUAUUCUAGAAAUCCAAUCAAAAUUUUUAUUAUAAAAGUCUAUUACUUAAGUCUUAAAUAUUAGCCUUCUAAAAAAAUAAAUUUGGUUGGGCUUCUAGAAUAAGCUGCCAGCAAAAGAACUGACCCGUAGUAAAAAAAAAUGCACACUUGACUUCCAAAUAUCGGAAGUGCGUGUGCAUGCUAAUUAGAAACAUGUAAGCCAGAAUGAAGCUCUGCAGCAGCAUGCAUGUAUGUGGUCAUGAUUAGUGAUUCUGGUGAGCGCUCGGCCGGCCGAGCAAGUCUUCAACUUUUCCAGCUUAGCGUGAUUGCUCUUAUAUUGCCGUUCGCAGAACCAGCGGGUUGAGAGUAUAGCCGAAUUAUGCCUUCUCCACGAUGAUUAAUAAUCGGUGCUAGCUAAUUACCUUUGACCAGCCUUUCCCAUCUCUAGUAGUACACCGAAUCUGCAUCACUAGCUGCGUCGUAUAGACAUCAUGAGGCUAGGCGUCACUAGUUCCACAACUGUGCCGCGCGCUAACACCAAUCUUGGAGUAGCCAACAACACGAAGCUAGGGCGCACGCGGCAUGAUGCAGUUUCGGCACCGGAGCGGCCGAUGCCGUAGCGCAAAGCGACUUUUGCUCGGCACACCAUGCGCCAGCCACCGCCCAGCCGAUGCGCGCGCGCGCGCCCCCGGAGGCAAUGAAUGGCCGGAGAGCACGAGUUCUCUUUUGCGAUCCCUCGGCCAUGGCCAUUGCGGUACGUAGUAGGCCGCGCACUGGGCUCAAUGAUGGUCCCGGCCAUGGGUUGAGCCCUGGCGAGGGCAGGCCAUGGACGAUGGCAUGGCACGCAGCACCAAGGUCGCCAUGGCGCACUGGGACAGGCAGAGCGCGACAGCAAUUCGCACAGGCUUUGGCUUGGUGCAUAUGCAUGUGUGUUGUGUGCUGAUUCGUGGCCACAACCUAGAGCCAGGCCGCGCGAAACACCAUGAUUAGCGCCCUGCGUCAUUUUGCCCUGGAUCCUGACCUACCCCAUGUAUGCUCUACCACUCUCCCAGCCUUGCUCGCUUUACCGAUUACUAUUCCAGGCACGGAGAAUCCAAGGCUGCAGGAGCCAAGAUCAGCUCAUCUCUGCUGGUCUUUCACGCAACACGUACGGUGGCCUUGAUUCACAGUGCAUGGCGCAUGUCCGGCGAUGUGAUGGAUGAUGGUGCAAUCCUACGUACUACCACGAUACACCUAAACACCAGCUGUAAUAAUUACUACAGUGUUGCUCACACAACCGUGGCACGGCCACGAAAGCAAUCCAGCCUUGUUUUUCCAUCAAGCUGCAGGAGGCGACAUUGUAUGGGGCCAAGGUUUUGAUCGAGCACGCUUGAUCAAAGGCACGUUACGUAGGUCACGAGCGAUGGCGCGGGGCAAUGUGAUCAGGUCAAAGUCGACACAAAGCCAUUUGAUCGAGAAAAGAUUCAAAGCUAUCUCGCUUUUGCGCGGCCGGCGUGGCCGUCCUGAAACCCAUCCGCUACGUACCCCGCCGCUGAGCUCUCAAAGUAGAGCUCGUGCUGCUUCACUUUACGAGCAUCGUCCAUUUUGCCUCAAGUCAUCAUGCACCCUCGUCUCUCGCCACGCCGGCCGUGAUCGCCAUGACUCGUCCGUCCCUACGGCGAGCGGAGCCUGCUGCCAAUGCCGCACGGCGGGGCGCGCCCGGCUGAUUCAGGGAGCCGUCCGAUGCAUGAUCCGGCGUACCAGACGCCAGUUAUACGUACGGUGGCUGAAGAUCGGGCAGAGAGUGAGGGAGUGUGAUGCAAUGGCUAAUGAUGAGCUUUAUCAUACAGGGCGGAGGAAUCUAAAGGAACAAAAGCCAGCGUCCAUUGACAUAUUUCGCAGGCUCAUCUCGCCGCAUUGCCUUCCCUUUUAGAGCAUCUCUAACAGCCGCCAACACGCGGCGCGCUAAAAACUACUUUGCAGCGCGUACAUUGUCUGAUUUGAUGCGGCGGACAGCGCUGGCUUCAGGAGCCACGCUAAAAUGAAGCGUACGCGCGUAGCUCCAGCAGCGCGCAAAAAUAUAGCGCGCGACUCACCGGCACAAAUAACAUAUGCGCUCCAAACACAAACAAAAAAUCAAACACAAACAAAAUAAAUCAACAAUAAUAAAUAGUUCAAUUUCAUUAUUACAACUCAAACAAAUAGUUUAUCGUUCAAUACAACAAAUAGUUCAACAAUACAACAAAUAGUUUAACAAUACAACAUCAAAUGCACAAAUCAUGAUGCUCGUUGUCGGCCAUUCCAAGCCCACCACUCCUCAAUGAGAUCCUUCUGAAGAUCAUCAUGCGCCGCGGGACGUUGAAUGGCAUGAUAGGAGGCAACAAAACGGGCCACACUUUCAGCCAUCCACCGCACUCGCACGGGAUGUCCAAAGAGCUCAUACUGAGAGUAGUCUAUAUCUUGGUCACGCUCAUUCUUGAUGAUCAUGUUGUGCAUGAUCAUACAAGCGUGCCUGAUGUACCAAAGCAUUUUUUGAUCCCAAAAUCUAGGCGGUCCUCUCACAAUAGCAAAUUGGGCUUGCAAAAUCCCAAAAGCUCUCUCCACAUCUUUUCUAGCCGCCGCCUGAGCAUUGUGGAAUCAAGUUUUUUCUUACUUUCCGGUUUUUUCAACGGCUUCACAAAUGUUUGCCACUAUGGGUAGAUGCCAUCCGCAAGAUAGUAGCCAUAGUUGUAUGUGCGGCCAUUUGCUACAAACUGCACCGCUGGUAGUUCACCAUUUGCAAUCUUAUUCAUCAGUGGUGACCGGUUGACAACGUUGAUGUCAUUCCAAGAUCCAGGCAUUCCAAAAAAAGCAUGCCAAAUCAAAGUCUCUUGAUCGGCCACCGCUUCAAGGAUUAUAGUGGAACCCUUUUUUUGGCCGUGGAAUUGCCCAUGCCAUGCCUUUGGACAAUUCUUCCAACUCCAAUGCGUGCAAUCUAUUGAGCCAAGCCUACAUGUGAAGUCGUGAGCUUUGUUCAUCUCCAAUAGCCUUGCUGGAUGGGGUAGGUGGAGGUGCGAGCGAGCGCUCGAGAGUCCAGCGCGCGGGAGCUGGCGCAACAAAUCAGCGGCGCGUGAUGGCGUUUUGAUGUAACACCCCCAGUGUCAUGCUACAGUAACCCUCUGUGAUUAAGCUAAUCAUUUUACUAAACAGUGCUUGGUCACCUUCGAUUCAAAUAUCCUUUGAAAUUUCCACUUUCAAAUCAAAUUCAUUUUGCAAGUGAAAUAUGGAGUUGCACAAAAGUUGUUGCAAAAUAGUUCAUCAUUUAGCCUAAAUUCCAUAACAAAUGAUUGUUAAGGAAAACAACAUCAUCUCCAAGCCAAGAUGGACUAUAGCAAAUAAAACAAUGCCUUUUCAGCAUUUGGGCCAUCAUCUCCACUGUACAAGGACAAGCCCACCUUCCCCCACUCAUCCCCUUCCCUGUACAGACAGAGGGCGUGGCAGCCAUCCGGCCACCGUGGCCGCGCCCUGUCUGCGUGCCGGCCAUCCCCCGGUUACCCCGGUGGAUAAGACGUCGCCGCGACCCCUCCCAGCAACCCUAGCUCCUUUCCCCUCUUUUCCUCGGGCCGCCAUUGUCUUCCCAUGCUCGGCCGAACCACCGCGUCAUGACCCCUGCCGAUGCCGCGCCCAUCGUCGCCUUCACCGCCUGAGGACGUGUCCGACCGCCCCGUCGCCGUCCCCUUCGUCACCUGGAGCACCCCGUUCGAGUCGGGAGCACCUACGUCGAGCCUGGCGACAUCUUCCCGCCGUCCGCUUCGGUCGCCGUCGUUCACCGUCGAAUCGGACGGCCUCUGCUGCUCCUAAGCAAUCACGGGGCCACCUUGUGCCCGCUAGGUGAGCCACCACCCCUUCUGCUCCUCACCUUUAACUCGCACGCAUCGCUAGCCACCGCCGUUAGCUUCGCCGCCGCGGCCACCGCAAGCUAAGCUCGCGCCCGAGCACCGCAACGUGCUCCUGGGAUCCCCAGGAGGCCAACGCGUGCAUCCGCUUGUCUUGCCGCACCCCCUAGCCCCGGAUCCGUCCUCGCCCGACUCCGUCCACCACAUCCGCUCGUCGCUGGCGUCGACUCCGGCCCCCAGCACGAACCCCUACCAUCAUUCGAUGCGCGUUGACCCACGUUUGAAUGAGCUCAGUCGCGCCCGAUUUGGUCCCCCGUAGAGCUACCCCAGUCGGGCGUCCGCCCCACCUCGCCCCGAUAGCGCGCCGACUGCGCCCUGCCUCUGCUCUGCUGCCGCUGCCCUCUGCCGCCCGCGCCCGACCACCACUGCUCCGCUCCGUCGCGCUCUGGUCCGUGUGCGUGCGCUCACCACAUAGCAGCGCCACGCCCGCCUCUGCACCACUUCGUCGCGGCCUACUCCCUGUCGGCCCCUGCCCUGCCUGCAGCUCGCCCCUCCCCUGCACGCACGCCGGCGNNNNNNNNNNNNNNNNNNNNNNNNNNNNNNNNNNNNNNNNNNNNNNNNNNNNNNNNNNNNNNNNNNNNNNNNNNNNNNNNNNNNNNNNNNNNNNNNNNNNNNNNNNNNNNNNNNNNNNNNNNNNNNNNNNNNNNNNNNNNNNNNNNNNNNNNNNNNNNNNNNNNNNNNNNNNNNNNNNNNNNNNNNNNNNNNNNNNNNNNNNNNNNNNNNNNNNNNNNNNNNNNNNNNNNNNNNNNNNNNNNNNNNNNNNNNNNNNNNNNNNNNNNNNNNNNNNNNNNNNNNNNNNNNNNNNNNNNNNNNNNNNNNNNNNNNNNNNNNNNNNNNNNNNNNNNNNNNNNNNNNNNNNNNNNNNNNNNNNNNNNNNNNNGGCUGCGCCGGGGCCGCGCUCGGGUUCGCCCGGCGCCCGCAGCGCCCCAUCGCCCGUACCCGUAGCGCCCGCCCCGUUAAGGCCCUUGGACCAAUGACAGCCGGGGCCCAGCCCCAGAACGUUUUUCUAUAAUUUAAUUAAUAAAAUUAAUUAAUUAAUCCAAUAAUUAAUUAACUUAAUUUUUCUGUUAGAUUAAACUAAUCAAGUUUAGUAAACCUAAUUAACUAAUUAAACUAUCUAAUCUGUUAAUUAGGUCUGUCAGUCAUUGACAGUUGGGACCCACCUGUUAGUUUCACCCAGUCAACUGUCAGAGUUGACCGCUAACGUCAUGCUGACAUCAAGUUGGCGCAAUAUAUAUUUUCGAAUUAAAAUAAUUUCAAAUUGUUUUAAAAACUUUAGAAUUUCGUAGAAAAUAAACCGUAGCUCGGAUCGAAAAACUUUAUAUAUGAAAGUUGCUCAGAACGACGAUAUGAAUCCGAAUACGCGGUCCGUUUACCUGUCAGAUGCCUUUAACUACCUGAACAUGGAACAUUCCUCCUUCGGUCUUCUGUCUGACACAAGUCCGUAACCGGGAAAACAUUCUCGGUUGAAUUCCCCCUUCACCUUUAUUGUGUAGCCAUACGUUAGGUCACACCCGGCACAUCAUAUUGCCUUGUUAGACUUUGUGAUGCUAUCUUUGCUUUAUAUUUAUUGUUUCUUCCCCCCCUUCUCUCCGGUAGACCCCGAGACCGAUGCUGCCCCUGUGAUCGACUACGUCGACGACGACACUUCUUCCUUUU
This 9143-nucleotide long non-coding RNA is filed under the name Triticum aestivum (bread wheat). RNAcentral describes it as "long non-coding RNA (TAES_LNC004660)". Lineage: Eukaryota; Viridiplantae; Streptophyta; Magnoliopsida; Poales; Poaceae. The record is from RNAcentral.